UACGAAGGGGGCUAGCGUUGUUCGGAUUUACUGGGCGUAAAGCGCGUGUAGGCGGGUCGUUAAGUUGGGGGUGAAAUCCCGAGGCUCAACCUCGGAACUGCCUUCAAAACUGGCGACCUGGAGCAAGAUAGAGGCAAGUGGAAUUGCGAGUGUAGAGGUGAAAUUCGUAGAUAUUCGCAGGAACACCAGUGGCGAAGGCGACUUGCUGGAUCUUUGCUGACGCUGAGACGCGAAAGCGUGGGGAGCAAACAGG
RNAcentral lists this ribosomal RNA (253 nucleotides) under Vitreimonas sp. RNAcentral describes it as "partial 16S ribosomal RNA". It matches the Rfam family "Bacterial small subunit ribosomal RNA", at positions 524 to 776 of the family's 1533-position model. RNAcentral also lists the same sequence under 2 other names. Lineage: Bacteria; Pseudomonadati; Pseudomonadota; Alphaproteobacteria; Hyphomonadales; Hyphomonadaceae. The record is from RNAcentral.